AGUGAUUUUUCGUUGCGGAA
RNAcentral lists this microRNA (20 nucleotides) under Tribolium castaneum (red flour beetle). RNAcentral's name for it is "tca-miR-3856-3p". The record is from miRBase by way of RNAcentral. Lineage: Eukaryota; Metazoa; Arthropoda; Insecta; Coleoptera; Tenebrionidae.